Molecule: long non-coding RNA, 292 nt
Organism: Amblyraja radiata (thorny skate)
Lineage: Eukaryota; Metazoa; Chordata; Chondrichthyes; Rajiformes; Rajidae
Exons: 3
Source: RefSeq, a predicted model, not a curated record
UCAUCCAAAGUCCAUCCGGAGCCUGAAAUUUAUUCCAAGAGGACCUCACUGUGAGAAUGCAGAGAUAAUUGUCACGCAGAAAAAUGGGAAAAAAGUGUGUGUGGAUCCUGAAGCCAAGUGGUUGGAGGUGCUUAUAACUGCCAAUAAAGGUGCCAAACAAGGCAAUUGAACAAAAUGAAGCUGCAAUCUGAGAGAUUCACUUCCACUCCUGGAGUAUCUGCCGGGCAAUGAAGGAGGCUCAGCUGUGGGAGUUAACACUGUAAUUCACCUUCCAGUGGUUCAGUCCAGUGCA